Molecule: ribosomal RNA, 498 nt
Filed under: uncultured bacterium
Lineage: Bacteria
Description: partial 16S ribosomal RNA
Rfam family: Bacterial small subunit ribosomal RNA
Source: RNAcentral
AUUGAACGCUGGCGGCAUGCCUUACACAUGCAAGUCGAACGGUAACAGGUCUUCGGAUGCUGACGAGUGGCGAACGGGUGAGUAAUACAUCGGAACGUGCCUAGUAGUGGGGGAUAACUACUCGAAAGAGUGGCUAAUACCGCAUGAGAUCUAAGGAUGAAAGCAGGGGAUCGCAAGACCUCGUGCUACUAGAGCGGCCGAUGGCAGAUUAGGUAGUUGGUGGGAUAAAAGCUUACCAAGCCGACGAUCUGUAGCUGGUCUGAGAGGACGAUCAGCCACACUGGGACUGAGACACGGCCCAGACUCCUACGGGAGGCAGCAGUGGGGAAUUUUGGACAAUGGGCGCAAGCCUGAUCCAGCAAUGCCGCGUGCAGGAUGAAGGCCUUCGGGUUGUAAACUGCUUUUGUACGGAACGAAAAGCCCCGGGUUAAUACCCUGGGGUCAUGACGGUACCGUAAGAAUAAGCACCGGCUAACUACGUGCCAGCAGCCGCCGUAA